UACCGGAGGCAGCAGUGGAGAAUCCUACGGGAGGCAGCAGUGGGUAAUCCUGCGCAAUGGGCGAAACCCUGAUGCAGCAACGCCGCGUGGGGGAUGAAGUCCCUUGGGACGUAAACUCCUUCGACCGCGACGAUAAUGACGGUACCUGAAGAAGAAGCACGCUACACG
This 168-nucleotide ribosomal RNA is filed under the name uncultured Acidobacteriota bacterium. Its description in RNAcentral is "uncultured Acidobacteria bacterium partial 16S ribosomal RNA". It matches the Rfam family "Bacterial small subunit ribosomal RNA", at positions 316 to 503 of the family's 1533-position model. The record is from RNAcentral. Lineage: Bacteria; Pseudomonadati; Acidobacteriota.